UUCAUUAGGAUGCAUGCAAGGGGAAGGAGAUAGAAAUGAAUGGCAGGAGGAAGCAUGGGGAUGCGUCUGAAUACAACAGUACCAUUUAUCUCCAGGGCAUACGUUCCAACAUCUCCAGUGAAAGCCUGAAACCAGUUCCAAACCUGACUGGCAUCAUUUGGAACACGUUUCUGUUCGUCUCUCCCAUACAGAAAUUUAAUGCCUUUUCCAUCCUAAUUAAGCGCUUAUCAUGUACUGCGGCUGUAACUUGUGCAGUUUGAAGGGCCACAGCAAAACUAGCAGGAAUUUUUUUCUUCUUUCAUGGAUCGAACGUUCUUUCUUACCAUAGAUCUUAGCAAACUCGGCAUAUGAUUUUUUUUCUUUCUCUAUUAAGUUGAAAACUUUCACCUUUUCACUUAAAGGAAACACUUUACGGCUUCUCUUUGGAAAACCCGAAUUGCCAGCAUCACUACUCUUGUGCUUUGGGGCCGUUAUGAAGUAAAAUAAGAGUUCCUUGAGCACACAGCACUUUGAUGCCCAACAGGUGAUCUGAUAACCUAGACGGUCACUAAGUGACUAAUAGUAGGUGGUGUAGACAACGUGGAGAUGCUGGACAGUGGGAAGAUUCACUCCCUUGGUGAGAUGGAGCAAAGAUGGCAUGAGAUUUCAUCGCGCUACUCAGAACUGUGUGGAAUUUCAAACUUAUCAAUUGUUUAUUUCUGGAAUUUUCCCUUCAGUGAAACCAAGGAAAGCAAUAUCACAGAUAAAGGGGAUUUCCGAAUAUAUAAACAAAAAGCAUUUACUGAAUACAAGAAUAAACUAUUUCUGCUCCUCUCUGGCUUAAAACUAUUCUGAGAGUUCCCCUUAAGAGGAUAGCACCUGUUAAAUGGAAAAGUGAUUAGCUAUUAUAAGUUUAGAAAAAACACAACAAACUACCAUAGAAUCUUUAUUCAUAAAAAUCCUUAAAACGAGAAUGAAAUAAUCACUUUCAUUCAUUUCAUACUAGCGUGUAUUGUGCCCAGUCUUUUUAAAUACGGUGUCAUCCAGGCAAAGCUGAAUGAGACAUGAAGCCUACCCUCUCUUCCUGUUCCAGAAAGCUCCUGGUUAGAAUUUUACUAAAGGAACUCCCCUUAACGUACUCUUCCUGUAAAAUUUUCUUUCUUUCUCCCUCAUCACCUUCAUUAGUUGUCUCUUUAUUUGUAUUUUGUUUGAAUGCUUGCUGGUCUUAAUUGUUGAAUAUAAUGUUUCAUUUAUUAUAAACUGCCUC
This 1246-nucleotide long non-coding RNA is filed under the name Homo sapiens (human). RNAcentral's name for it is "HSALNT0339380". The record is from RNAcentral. Lineage: Eukaryota; Metazoa; Chordata; Mammalia; Primates; Hominidae.